This 253-nucleotide ribosomal RNA is filed under the name uncultured Aquicella sp. Its description in RNAcentral is "partial 16S ribosomal RNA". It matches the Rfam family "Bacterial small subunit ribosomal RNA", at positions 524 to 776 of the family's 1533-position model. The record is from RNAcentral. Lineage: Bacteria; Pseudomonadati; Pseudomonadota; Gammaproteobacteria; Legionellales; Coxiellaceae.
UACAGAGGGUGCGAGCGUUGAUCGGAAUUACUGGGCGUAAAGGGCGCGUAGGCGGUGAGGUAUGUGUGGUGUGAAAGCCCCGGGCUUAACCUGGGAAGUGCAUCGCAAACUAUCUGACUGGAGUAUAUGAGAGGGUGGCGGAAUUUCCGGUGUAGCGGUGAAAUGCGUAGAGAUCGGAAGGAACGUCAAUGGCGAAGGCAGCCACCUGGCAUAAUACUGACGCUGAGGCGCGAAAGCGUGGGGAGCGAACAGG